CUGAGCUCAGCCCCUAGGCGACUUAAUGGGCUUUUAAAAAACCCCUUUGUAUUGGAUCCAUUCUUCUUCCCAAAGCUUGCUGGCCCCGCUCCAAGGGGAAACCUUUGAUUCUACAAAUACACCACAAUUAUCAUCCCGAGGAGUCUCAGCUAUCAGGCUCCCCGCCUCCAAAAGAUCAGCAGGAUGCCAGAGAGGUGCUUAAAUCAUUUCAUCCUAAGAAAGCCCUGGGCUGUAACAGCUUCCCCGUUGCUCGGAAAACGCCACCCCUCUCCCAAAAGCUUGGCUCCAUUUUUCUCCCAGCGAUGCCGUCGCUAGUGGAGGCAGGGAGGGCAGUGCUGCAGAAACCAGGCCACUGGGCUUCCCAGUGAUUUCAUCAGUCCUGGGACCCAGCUCGUGGAGAUUUAUGAGCUCACAAGAAUCUCGCCUUGGAGUUAUCUCCCCCUCCCCGCUCUUAAUGGCUCUGCAGAAAGGGAUUCAGCGAUAGAGCCCUGCUGGGUACGUAACAAGCUCGCUCUGUUUGACAGUUGCAAAUAUUUUUCUCCAACAUUGCACAGGUCCGUGUGCUGCUCGGGCUGCUCUCGCCAGCAUUUCCACCACCCAGCACUGGGAAGCUCGACUUGGUGUGGGGGAGAUGGAAACCGAAAUCUUGCCAAGCACUGCAUCCACUCCCUGACUUAUCCCUUGCUCACGACUCCCCUAAGCUCUCCUCCAGGUAAUACAAAUCCUGCCCUUCUGCAAUGCUCUCCAGUCCAGUGCUGGGGUUUUUGAAGGGAUUGUGUGCUCCACUUCCAGCAGGAGUCCAGCACUUCUCUCCUUGCAGAAAUCCCCUUUUAAAGCACGUCAUCAGUACUCUUCUGCAGCUGUUUUUCUUAGUAGUCUAAAUAAAGCUUUCAAGUUACGACUCCUUGAUGUGAAG
This 916-nucleotide long non-coding RNA is filed under the name Junco hyemalis (dark-eyed junco). RNAcentral describes it as "lncRNA (ENSJHYG00000014260.1)". The record is from RNAcentral. Lineage: Eukaryota; Metazoa; Chordata; Aves; Passeriformes; Passerellidae.